RNAcentral lists this non-coding RNA (741 nucleotides) under Cylindraustralia sp. HS-2014. The record is from RNAcentral. Lineage: Eukaryota; Metazoa; Arthropoda; Insecta; Orthoptera; Cylindrachetidae.
UUAAAGUUUUAUCCUUGCUUAGAGAUUUAUUAUAGUAAUGAUUAUAUGUGAGUUUUUGAAAUCUUAAUGAGUCAGUUUCAGUAGGUUAAAUUAAAAAAUUGAUAUUUCAAGAUUUAGUGAUUAUUUUAUUGUUGGUUAAAAUNNNCGUGCCAGCMRCCGCGGUUAUACGAUUGACAUAAAUAAAUUUUGUUAGUAUGUAGUUGGAAKUUUAGAAAAAAUUGUUUAUUUUGCAUUAAUGGGUGAAAUUAUAAUGUUUAAUAAUAUUUAAUUGUUGUUUAAAGCUAUUAAACUUUUUUAAAUAAACUAGGAUUAGAUACCCUAUUAUUUUAAGUGUAAAUUUGAAGCUGGGGUAGUAAGUGGUGUUCAUAAAACCCAAAGGAUUUGGCGGUAUUUUAGUCUAAUUAGAGGAAUCUGUCCUAUAAAUGAUAAUACACGAAGAUUUUUCUUGUUUUUGUAGACAGUUUGUAUAUCGCCGUUAUCAGAAUGUAUUUUGAAAUAAAAUUUUCAAUUUUUUUAAUAAAAACAUAGUUCAGGUCAAGGUGCAGCUUAUGAAUAAGAAGAGAUGGAUUACAAUUUAAUUUAUGAAUAUGGAUAUAACGUGAGAUAUUAAGUGAAGGUGGAUUUAACAGUAAAUUUUUGUAUUAAAGAAUUUUGAAUUAGGCUCUAAAAUGUGCACACAUCGCCCGUCACUCUCGUUUAUAAGAUGAGAUAAGUCGUAACAAAGUAGGUGUACUGGAAGGU